Non-coding RNA from Populus trichocarpa (black cottonwood), 155 nucleotides. The record is from Rfam. Lineage: Eukaryota; Viridiplantae; Streptophyta; Magnoliopsida; Malpighiales; Salicaceae.
GCAAGAACAAGAGAUAUGGGCUGAACACUGAACAAUGUUUGGGCUGCAGGACAAAUUCUAACUUCUCCGUUGUUGCUACAAUUUGAACUUGAAAAUGGUCUUUUGAAUCUUGGACUCUUCAUGAAAGUUUUAGGCCUAUGUCUUAGCUUUCCAUC